RNAcentral lists this ribosomal RNA (356 nucleotides) under uncultured bacterium. Its description in RNAcentral is "partial 16S ribosomal RNA". It matches the Rfam family "Bacterial small subunit ribosomal RNA", at positions 338 to 709 of the family's 1533-position model. The record is from RNAcentral.
CCUACGGGGUGCUGCAGUGGGGAAUAUUGGGCAAUGGGCGCAAGCCUGACCCAGCAACGCCGCGUGAAGGAAGAAGGCUUUCGGGUUGUAAACUUCUUUUAAGAGGGAAGAGCAGAAGACGGUACCUCUUGAAUAAUCCACGGCUAACUACGUGCCAGCAGCCGCGGUAAUACGUAGGUGGCAAGCGUUGUCCGGAUUUACUGGGUGGAAAGGGCGUGCAGCCGGGAAGACAAGUCAGAUGUGAAAUCCCGCGGCUCAACCGCGGAACUGCAUUUGAAACUGUUUUUCUUGAGUACCGGAGAGGGCAUCGGAAUUCGUUGUGUAGCGGUGAAAUGCGUAGAUAUAAGGAAGAACAC